Molecule: ribosomal RNA, 292 nt
Filed under: uncultured bacterium
Lineage: Bacteria
Description: partial 16S ribosomal RNA
Rfam family: Bacterial small subunit ribosomal RNA
Source: RNAcentral
GUGUCAGCAGCCGCGGUAAGACAGAGGGUGCAAACGUUGCUCGGAAUUACUGGGCGUAAAGCGCGUGUAGGCGGGCUGAUAAGUCGGAUGUGAAAUCCCUGAGCUCAACUCAGGAACUGCAUUCGAAACUGUCAGUCUUGAGUAGUGGAGAGGAAAGCAGAAUUCCUGGUGUAGAGGUGAAAUUCGUAGAUAUCAGGAGGAACACCGGUGGCGAAGGCGGCUUUCUGGACACUUACUGACGCUGAGACGCGAAAGCGUGGGGAGCAAACAGGAUUAGAAACCCGAGUAGUCC